ACUCCUACGGGAGGCAGCAGUGGGGAAUUGUUCGCAAUGGGCGCAAGCCUGACGACGCAACGCCGCGUGGAGGAUGAAGAUCUUCGGGUCGUAAACUCCUUUCGAUUGGGAAGAAUUCCUUUGUGAUGAACAAUCACGAAGGUUGACGGUACCGAGAGAAGAAGCCCCGGCUAACUCCGUGCCAGCAGCCGCGGUAAUACGGGGGGGGCAAGCGUUGUUCGGAAUUACUGGGCGUAAAGGGCUCGUAGGCGGCCGACUAAGUCAGACGUGAAAUCCCUCGGCUUAACCGGGGAACUGCGUCUGAUACUGGUGGGCUUGAGUUUGGGAGAGGGAUGCGGAAUUCCAGGUGUAGCGGUGAAAUGCGUAGAUAUCUGGAGGAACACCGGUGGCGAAGGCGGCAUCCUGGACCAACACUGACGCUGAGGAGCGAAAGCCAGGGGAGCAAACGGGAUUAGAUACCCCGGUAGUCCUGGCCCUAAACGAUGAAUGCUUGGUGUGACGGGUAUCGAUCCCUGUCGUGCCGAAGCUAACGCAUUAAGCAUUCCGCCUGGGGAGUACGGUCGCAAGGCUGAAACUCAAAGAAUUGACG
This 589-nucleotide ribosomal RNA is filed under the name uncultured Acidobacteriota bacterium. RNAcentral's name for it is "bacterial SSU rRNA". It matches the Rfam family "Bacterial small subunit ribosomal RNA", at positions 335 to 915 of the family's 1533-position model. Lineage: Bacteria; Pseudomonadati; Acidobacteriota. The record is from RNAcentral.